RNAcentral lists this ribosomal RNA (498 nucleotides) under uncultured bacterium. Its description in RNAcentral is "partial 16S ribosomal RNA". It matches the Rfam family "Bacterial small subunit ribosomal RNA", at positions 28 to 507 of the family's 1533-position model. The record is from RNAcentral.
GACGAACGCUGGCGGCGUGCUUAACACAUGCAAGUCGAACGGGCCCGCUCUCUUUUUUGGGGGUGGGUUGAGUGGCGAACGGGUGAGUAUCACGUGAGUAACCUGCCCCCUGCUCCUGGAUAACUGCUUGAAAGGGCGGCUAAUACGGGGUGUGCCGGCUGGUCCGCAUGGGCCUGGUCGGGAUAGUUUCAUCUUCGGGUGUUUCGGUGGGGGUGGGCUCGCGGCCUUUUAGGUUGUUGGUGGGGGGAUGGCCCCCCAAGGCGGUGACGGGUAGCCGGCCUGAGAGGGUGGGCGGCCACACUGGGACUGAGACACGGCCCAGACUCCUGCGGGAGGCAGCAGUGGGGGGUAUUGCACAAUGGGCGGAAGCCGGAUGCAGCGACGUCGCGUGAGGGAUGGAGGCCGUCGGGUUGUGAACCUCUUUCUCCGGUGGUGAAGGCCCUGUCCGUUGCGGCGGGGUUGACGGUAGCCGGGUAUGAAGCGCCGGCUAACUACGUG